This 468-nucleotide ribosomal RNA is filed under the name uncultured bacterium. Its description in RNAcentral is "partial 16S ribosomal RNA". It matches the Rfam family "Bacterial small subunit ribosomal RNA", at positions 28 to 507 of the family's 1533-position model. The record is from RNAcentral.
GACGAACGCUGGCGGCGUGCUUAACACAUGCAAGUCGAACGGAAAGGCCCUGCUUUUGUGGGGUGCUCGAGUGGCGAACGGGUGAGUAACACGUGAGUAACCUGCCCUUGACUUUGGGAUAACUUCAGGAAACUGGGGCUAAUACCGGAUAGGAGCUCCUGCUGCAUGGUGGGGGUUGGAAAGUUUCGGCGGUUGGGGAUUGACUCGCGGCUUAUCAGCUUGUUGGUGGGGUAGUGGCUUACCAAGGCUUUGACGGGUAGCCGGCCUGAGAGGGUGACCGGCCACAUUGGGACUGAGAUACGGCCCAGACUCCUACGGGAGGGAGCAGUGGGGAAUAUUGCACAAGGGGCGGAAGCCUGAUGCAGCAACGCCGCGUGCGGGAUGACGGCCUUCGGGUUGUAAACCGCUUUCGCCUGUGACGAAGCGUGAGUGACGGUAAUGGGUAAAGAAGCACCGGCUAACUACGUG